This 432-nucleotide ribosomal RNA is filed under the name Trigonopterus collaris. RNAcentral's name for it is "SSU rRNA". It matches the Rfam family "Eukaryotic small subunit ribosomal RNA", at positions 23 to 434 of the family's 1831-position model. The record is from RNAcentral. Lineage: Eukaryota; Metazoa; Arthropoda; Insecta; Coleoptera; Curculionidae.
GUCAUAUGCUUGUCUCAAAGAUUAAGCCAUGCAUGUCUCAGUACAAGCCAAAUUAAGGUGAAACCGCGAAAGGCUCAUUAAAUCAGUUAUGGUUCCUUAGAUCGUACCCACAAUUACUUGGAUAACUGUGGUAAUUCUAGAGCUAAUACAUGCAAACAGAGCUCCGACCGGAGACGGAAGGAGUGCUUUUAUUAGAUCAAAACCAAUCGGUGGCGGGUUCGCUCGUUAUCGUACAACUUGGUGACUCUGAAUAACUUUACGCUGAUCGCACGGUCAUCGCACCGGCGACGCAUCUUUCAAAUGUCUGCCUUAUCAACUGUCGAUGGUAGGUUCUGCGCCUACCAUGGUUGUAACGGGUAACGGGGAAUCAGGGUUCGAUUCCGGAGAGGGAGCCUGAGAAACGGCUACCACAUCCAAGGAAGGCAGCAGGCG